GACGAACCGUGCGAACGUUGUUCGGACUCACUGGGCUUAAAGGGUGCGUCGGCGGGUUGUCCAGUCUGGGGUGAAAUCCCACGGCUCAACCGUGGAAUUGCCUCAGAUACUGACGACCUCGAGGGAGGUAGGGGCGAGCGGAACUGUGGGUGGAGCGGUGAAAUGCGUUGAUAUCCACAGGAACUCCGGUGGCGAAGGCGGCUCGCUGGACCUCUUCUGACGCUGAGGCACGAAAGCUAGGGGAGCAAAUGGG
Molecule: ribosomal RNA, 253 nt
Filed under: uncultured bacterium
Lineage: Bacteria
Description: partial 16S ribosomal RNA
Rfam family: Bacterial small subunit ribosomal RNA
Source: RNAcentral